This 73-nucleotide transfer RNA is filed under the name Ovis aries (sheep). It matches the Rfam family "tRNA". From Rfam's summary of the family: Transfer RNA (tRNA) molecules are approximately 80 nucleotides in length. The record is from Rfam by way of RNAcentral. Lineage: Eukaryota; Metazoa; Chordata; Mammalia; Artiodactyla; Bovidae.
CCCCUGGAAGUCCAGUAGCUAGGACUCUGCGCUCUCAAUGCAGGGGCCCUGGGUUCGAUCCCUGGUCAGGGAA